ACAGAUGCUCCUGAAGUUCCUCAGAGAUGUUGCUGGUCUUUUAUUGACUUUCCAAUUCCAACCCAAAGAAUUGUCAGUGCUGUGAAGACAAGUUCACUUUGCCCUGAGCCUGGCAUUGUGGUUACGACACCUAGAACUGAAUUUUGUGUGGACCCAGACGAGGCUUGGAUAAAGAGCUUCAUGGAGAAAAGGCAAUGGAAAUGAAACACAAUACAUAUGCACAAAAUAAUACUGUUAAUGAUUAAUACAACUGUAAUACCUUCUUAUUUUUUUUUCUUUUUUGCUGUAUCUCAUCAAUAUUACAAGAAAAAAAAACUGCUAAAUGUUAAACCUGUUCACAUUUAGCACUCAAUAUGCUGACAUGUGCAGGAUGACAAUGCAAAUGAAUAUUAAAAUGCUUGGAUAUUA
Cyprinus carpio (common carp) is the source of this 408-nucleotide long non-coding RNA. RefSeq lists it as uncharacterized. The record is from RefSeq and is a predicted model, not a curated record. The transcript is spliced from 2 exons. Lineage: Eukaryota; Metazoa; Chordata; Actinopteri; Cypriniformes; Cyprinidae.